GCUCUGGCUGUGCUGUGGAGGGGGGGCGGCCUUGGCACUUUUUUUUUCUCUCUUUUCAUUUUCCUUCUCGACUCCCCACUCUUCCCCUUCCUUUUUUCUUCUUUCCUCCCUCCUGUUUCCUCUUUCCUCUCUUCCUUUCCAGUCUUUCUUGUAAAUCCCCUUCCCUUUCCUCUUUCUUCCUUUCCUUUUUUCUUCCCCUCUUUCCUUCUCCUCCUAAUUUUUCUCCAUAGCAUUAAUAACUAAUUACUUCCUUAAAAUAAUCUGCACCAGGGUUUGGCAUCCAACACGCACCAGGUACAGGGGACAGGCUGACAAAGAGUGGAGAGACUGUCCUCACAGAGCUGAGCGUCCAGAGGGCAACGCUGAUGAUUAAAUAAGUAAUUGUUAGAAGGCAAACGUCUAAAGACAACCUCUCCUCUUUUUCACCCGAUUUCUGGGCCAACGGAGAAAUAAGACGAAAGGUAAAGGCAGAUGGAAAUCAAACGGCACUGAAAUCCACGAGGAAGCUGCCCUGGAGAACGCGGCUCUGCUCCUCAGGCAUGCGGGCUGCUUGACGCUGAAUCUCAGAGCUUCCCCAGUGUGGCCACCGACCAAAGGCAGCCUGGGCCAGGGUGAAGGCGUCCCAGAAAAAUCCACAGUGAGAGGAGCAGCGGGCAUGGGAAAUCAGUGUAAACGCAGCACAAGUGAACGAGGAGCAGUGAGAGAGGCCAGGAGCCCAAGGCUGGUGGAAGCACCUCUCAGGAGGAGGAGAACACCAGGAGUGGGGACGGAGUUCCUCCCCUGCCCUCUGCUCUGCACCACCACUCACAGGGGGCUGCUGGAUGCAGAAUUAUCACUGCUGGUCUCUGGACACGUUUCUCCACCAGUUUGUCUCCAUCCCCCCGACCACGGAACACAUCUGUUGCACAGAGUGAGGCCCAUUCCAUCAAUGCAGUUGCCUGCAGAGCAAUGAAGUCAUCCCCAUCUACUGCCUGAAACCAGAAAUGAGGAUAACCGGCCAGUAUUAAAUAUUAAAGUUUUUCACAUUUUUGCUGUUCUCUUCCAGAGAACACAGAGAACACUGACAUAUUUUUCAGAGCUCAGGUGGAAAGCUAAUGGACUGGAGAAGCUUUCAACUUAACUGGAGCGACACAUAAAGAGAAAACUUAAUUACGGUUAGGAUUCAGUGGGUUAACUGGAUAAACAAGUAGCCUGUGUGUUUCAAAGCAUCUAAGACACUAUUGAUUUUAAGAUGCACCAUUAUUUUAUGUCCCUCUGAGGAAAAAAGCACUGCCAAUUAAAC
Long non-coding RNA from Camelus dromedarius (Arabian camel), 1282 nucleotides. RefSeq lists it as uncharacterized. The record is from RefSeq and is a predicted model, not a curated record. The transcript is spliced from 4 exons. NCBI's taxonomy places the organism in Eukaryota, Metazoa, Chordata, Mammalia, Artiodactyla, Camelidae.